GACGAACGCUGGCGGCGUGCCUAAUACAUGCAAGUAGAACGCUGAAGGAGGAGCUUGCUUCUCCGGAUGAGUUGCGAACGGGUGAGUGACGCGUAGGUAACCUGCCUCGUAGCGGGGGAUAACAAUUGGAAACGAUAGCUAAUACCGCAUAAGAGAAGAUGUUGCAUGACAUUUACUUAAAAGGUGCAAUUGCAUCACUACCAGAUGAACCUGCGUUGUAUUAGCUAGUUGGUGGGGGAAUGGCGUACCAAGGAGACGAUGCAUAGGCGGCCUGAGAGGGUGGUCGGCCACACUGGGACUGAGACACGGCCCAGACUGCUACGGGAGGCAGCAGUAGGGGAUCUUCGGCAAUGGACGGAAGUCUGACCGAGCAAAGGCGGGUGAGUGAAGGAGGUUUUCGGAUCGUAAAGCUCUGUUGUAAGAGAAGGACGAGUGUGAGAGUGGAAAGUGCACACUGUGACGGUAUCUUACCAGAAAGGGACGGCUAACUACGUG
RNAcentral lists this ribosomal RNA (495 nucleotides) under uncultured bacterium. Its description in RNAcentral is "partial 16S ribosomal RNA". It matches the Rfam family "Bacterial small subunit ribosomal RNA", at positions 28 to 507 of the family's 1533-position model. The record is from RNAcentral.